GAAACACUCAGAGAAUCUUCACCCUAAGCUUGCUCGAGAUCUUGCUGAAGUGAAAUCAUCUUUCGCUACUGCUUUAAAAGAACUUGAAAGAGAACGCGAGGCACGGGGUAUGCUAGAAGAAUUAUGUGAUGAGUUUGCCUACGGAAUUAAGGAGUAUGAAGAAGAAGUUCGAUUCUUGAAAAGCAAAGUGAGAAAGGAUCAAAUAUUGACUGAAGAGAAGGAUGGAUUGGUCAUUCAUAUUUCUGAAGCCUGGUUAGA
RNAcentral lists this unclassified non-coding RNA (258 nucleotides) under Hevea brasiliensis (rubber tree). Lineage: Eukaryota; Viridiplantae; Streptophyta; Magnoliopsida; Malpighiales; Euphorbiaceae. The record is from RNAcentral.